Molecule: non-coding RNA, 179 nt
Filed under: Chloroflexota bacterium
Lineage: Bacteria; Bacillati; Chloroflexota
Description: Chloroflexi bacterium (hot springs metagenome) 6S RNA
Rfam family: 6S / SsrS RNA
About the family: E. coli 6S RNA was the first non coding RNA to be sequenced, but its function was unknown until recently.
Source: RNAcentral
ACGACCCUGCGGUGUUAGUGAUGCAAGACAAAGCUCUGAGCCAACACCUCUGACAUAGGGAGCCAACCUCCGCUAGCUGUGUGUCUGAGGCUUACCGUCUCACCUAGAAGCUGGUCGGCAGGUUCCUUCUUGUGAAUUGAGGUUCAGAGCCAAGUCGCACACGGCAUAGCGGGGUCUUU